CCCUAUUAUUUUUAAAAAAAUUUAGGUAGUAAAAUUUUACUAAAACCUAUUUACAUUGACAGUUUUCAUUAUCUAGAGGAACAUGUAUAAUAAUCGACAUCCCACGAUAAUUUUAACUUUAAUUAAAAAUUUAUAUAUCGCCAUUCAUAAGAAUUUAUAUAAAAAUAUAUUCAAAGAUAUCUUAAUUAAAAUUUUAGGUCAAGGUGUAAUCAAUAUUUAAGUUAAUAUGUGUUACAUUAAAAAUAAUUUAAGAAACAAUUUUAAUAAAAUUUGAGAAAAAGGAUUUAGAAGUAUUAUUUUAAUAAUAAUUAAAUUUGAAUUUCCCAGAAAAUGUACACAU
This 340-nucleotide ribosomal RNA is filed under the name Phymatoctenus cf. sassii. RNAcentral describes it as "partial small subunit ribosomal RNA". Lineage: Eukaryota; Metazoa; Arthropoda; Arachnida; Araneae; Ctenidae. The record is from RNAcentral.